AGCCAUCCCAGGACCACUUUCCCUGACUUUAGAACAUAUUCUGUCUUCUUCCUCCAAAAUGGCUUCUCCUAACCCCAACCCCAGACUCCUCUCAGCCCUGGCAUAUGCCUGCACCCAUCCCCUCAGCCCUCAGUGCCAUCCCUAAGCUCAGAGGUCAUAAGCUGACAAACGGUUAAGAUCUGAAGGAUGAAAAUGAGGUCAGAGGUGGUUUACAGAAUGAGUUUAAACUGGCAGGCACCUCCUUUGCUCUUCAAUGCAUUAGGAAUGGUUUUGGUACGAAUUUCCAGUGGAGGGGAGGGAGAGAACGCUUGCUUGGAUGAAUGUGUCGGGGGAAGGGCUAUAGUCAUAGGAAUAAAACCAUUGCCACUCCAAAGAGAACGUUUGAAAAAGCACAAUAAGUGACUCAGAUACAGACACCCGUGGGAACUCCAUUCACUGUGACCCAGACUUUAAUGACCCACCCACACACACCUCAAAAAGGAAACCGUCUGGGGUAUUAGUUAACACAAGGGGUGGCAGGGAUGAAUUUUCUGUUCAUUUGUCAGCAGAGUCUCCAGAGAGCUGUUUCUCUUCCUUCUUCCACGUCUCCCGAAAUCAAGGACUGUACUCUACCUGCAGACUUGGUGGGUGCCACCGUUGAACUGUGCAGACAAACACUCAGCGCGGGUCUGCCCUACACGGUCAUCUGCCUGGACUUAUGUGAAAGACCCUUUGGCACACAACUUAGACUUUGUGUUGUUAUAAAAGCCACACACAUGCGUUUGUAGACCACGUAAGGAAAGUUAAGGGUGACUCUUAGCUCGUCACACUAGCACCAAGAGGACACUGUCAGCCUUCCUGUAAGUCUUUCAUUCUCCCUGGUAUAACUGUGUGCGCACAUACUCUCACCGGCUUUUGGUUUUUGCUUUUUUGUUUGUUUGUUUUUGUUUUCUAAUGAAGAAAACUGGGUCGUGCUGUAUAUAGUCUUUAAUGACUUACUUUUCAAAUGUGUAUUUAUAUUUUAGAAUAUGCAAUAUAUGCACAGAUCUAUAAAAUUCAAAUAGUAUACAAACUCUGUAGUUGAAAGUAACUCUUCUUCCCUGUGUGCCCACAGCAAAGUACCCUCUGGUUUCUUGUGUAACCCCUUCAAGAGAUUCUCGUUUUUCAAAGAUGUGUAUAUCCUUUUAUCACUCACAAGUGGUAGCAUGUCAGAUGCUUCCCCCACCCCCACUGCUUUAUGUAAUAUGUCAUGGGCAUUUCGGCAUGUCUCUUGGACUUUUCUUCAGCAUCUUCAUGGUAUGCGUGGAUCUUUAUUUUGUAACCCAUCCACAAACACAGAUGAGUUCACCUGUUUCCAGUCUUUACUGUAAAUAAUGUUGUAACUGACAUUCUUGUCGCUAAAUUUUGCACAUGUCUGUGGCGAGUUCCUUAGGAUAUAAUCCGAGAAGGAAAUUGCGUGACUAUUUUUAAGGAUUUUGAUACAUGUUGCCAAUACCCUGUAGAGAGUUUAUACCCAGACACUGUUCUGUUUGCAGCCCCAGAGCACCCUGCUCUCUGGACUCUAAAAAGCACUAGGUUUUAUCACUUAUCAAAUCUUUGCCAAUUUGAUAGGCAAAUAACAGUACGUCAAUGGUAUUUCAACUUAUUGCUUUAACAUUCCUUGGUUAUCAGUGACUAACAUUUUCAUAUGCUUAUUGACCAUUUGAAUUUCUUUCUUUGUGAAUUUCCUAUUUGUUUGAUAUUGAUAUGUUUAUCUUUAUCUAUAUUUAUGUUUAUCUUUAUGAUCUAUUUGUAACUUUAAGAAUAUUAUUUUUGUCAAGAAAUGCAACAGAUACGCUUUCCAAGUGCUUUGCUUUCAGAUUUCAUUUAUGGUGCUUUUUAACAUACAUAAACUCCUAAUUCUGCAACUAAUUUGUUCUAUGUUGCUAGCUUUUCCUGCUGGUAUCCUCAACCCUCAUGUCUGAAAGGCCAUCUGAGCCAGCGCUUCUACAACUCCAAAAUCCUUCGUCACAUCCCAUCCUCCUUAAGAUAAAAAUCAAAAGCCAAACCCCUUAAGUAACGCUCAAGGUCUUUCCUGUACCAUCUCUCUCCAACUUCACCAGGCACACCUCCAACCCUCUUAAAGUAUCCUCCACUCCACAGCCAUGUAGCCCUAAGCCACCGAGCUGGGUCUGUGGGUCUUUCCACACUGGCCCCUGUUCCUUGUGAGGCAUUCCUAGUACCUCACCCCAUCCUUGCCAUGUGCUGACCCAGGAUCACUCCCCACACCGUAGUCUCUGUUCCUAAAGCGAAGCCUCCCUGCCUCUGCCCAGUGUCCCCCACAACUAAUCAAGGGUUUAGCUCUGGCUGUUCUGGAACUCACUAUGUGGACCAGGGUAGUUGGUCUGGAACUCAGAGAUCCUCCUGCCUCUGCCUUCCAAGUGCCAGAAUUAAAGGCGUGCACCAACACUG
This 2430-nucleotide long non-coding RNA is filed under the name Mus musculus (house mouse). Its description in RNAcentral is "long non-coding RNA chr12:81665667-81668097". The record is from RNAcentral. Lineage: Eukaryota; Metazoa; Chordata; Mammalia; Rodentia; Muridae.